CGCAUGGUGAAUGCCUUGGUACUAGGAGCCGAUGAAGGACGGGACUAACACCGAUAUGCUUCGGGGAGCGGUAAGUACGCUUUGAUCCGGAGAUUUCCGAAUGGGGAAACCCAGUCAGUUUAAUCGCUGACUACUUGACUAGUGAAUACAUAGCUAGCAAGAGGUAGACGCAGUGAACUGAAACAUCUUAGUAGCUGCAGGAAGAGAAAGAAAAAUCGAUUCCCUGAGUAGCGGCGA
RNAcentral lists this ribosomal RNA (237 nucleotides) under Limosilactobacillus rudii. RNAcentral describes it as "Limosilactobacillus sp. STM3_1 partial 23S ribosomal RNA". It matches the Rfam family "Bacterial large subunit ribosomal RNA", at positions 18 to 252 of the family's 2925-position model. The record is from RNAcentral. Lineage: Bacteria; Bacillati; Bacillota; Bacilli; Lactobacillales; Lactobacillaceae.